GGGGGACGUGAGACAACUUGGGAAGGUUGAACACUAGACGUUGACAUCAGCAAACCGCUCGUCCACACGACGCCAUACACGUGGGUCUGCGGUUGUGAGGCCGGUUGGACAUAAGACAAUUUAUGGUAGAAAAAAAAUGAACAUUAAAUUCUCUACACUGUGGAUUUAACAAGUGACAUCAAUAAGGGAUCAUAGUUUUUCACCUGGACAGUCUCAUGGAAAGAGCAGGUGUUCUUAAUGUUUUGUUCACUCAGUUUAUAGUUCUAUUUGUGUUGGGGUGUGUUAAAACAUGUUUUAUAUACUCUUGGGUUUCCAACCUCAUCUGCACACCUUUUUACCUUGUUUUUUUAAUGGAACUGAUUGUCUUUCACUUGUCUUGUUUAUGUUAAUACACCAAACUAGUGUAAGAUUUUCAAGUUGUCCCCAUGCCAGUCUUCUGUCCCCUGUCCUCCAUGCCAGUCCCCUAUUCUCCAUGCCUUUCCCCUGUCCUCCAUGCCAGUCCCCAGUCCUCAUGCCAGUCCCCAGUCCUCAUGCCAGUCCUCUGUCCCCAUGCCAGUCCCCUGUCCUCUGUCCCCAUGACAGUCCCCUGUCCCUAUGCCAGUCCCCUGUCCUCUGUCCCCAUGCCAGUCCCCUGUCCCCAUGCCAGUCUCCUGUCCUCUGUCCCCAUGCCAGUCUCCUGUCCCCAUGCCAGUCUCCUGUCCCCAUGCCAGUCUCCUGUCCCCUGUCCCCAUGCCAGUCCCCCGUCCCCAUGCCAGUCUCCUGUCCCCAUGCCAGUCUCCUGUCCCCUGUCCCCAUGCCAGUCCCCCGUCCCCAUGCCAGUCUCCUGUCCUCCGUCCCCAUGCCAGUCUCCUGUCCUCUGUCCCCAUGCCAGUCCCCUGUCCCCAUGCCAGUCUCCUGUCCCCUGUCCCCAUGCCAGUCUCCUGUCCCCUGUCCCCAUGCCAGUCUCCUGUCCUCCGUCCCCAUGCCAGUCUCCUGUCCCCUGUCCCCAUGCCAGACUCCUGUCCCCAUGCCAGUCUCCUGUCCUCUGUCCCCAUGCCUGUCCCCAUGCCAGUCCUCUGUCCCCAUGCCAGUCCCCUGUCCUCUGUCCCCAUGCCAGCAUCCUGUCCUCUGUCCCCAUGCCAGUCUCCAGCUCCCUGUCCCCAUGCCAGUCUCCAGCUCCCUGUCCCCAUGCCUGUCCUCUGUCCCCAUGCCAGGCUCCUGUCCUCUGUCCCCAUGCCAGGCCCCUGUCCUCUGUCCCCAUGCCAGGCCCCUGUCCUCUGUCCCCAUGCCAGGCCCCUGUCCUCUGUCCCCCAUGCCAGGCCCCUGUCCUCUUUCCCCAUGCCAGGCCCCUGUCCCCAUGCCAGUCCCCUGUCCUCUGUCCCCAUGCCAGUCCCCUGUCCUCUGUCCCCCAUGCCAGUCCCCUGUCCUCCAUGCCAGUCCCCUGUCCUCCAUGCCAGUCCCCUGUCCUCCAUGCCAGUCCCCUGUCCCCCAUGCCAGUCCCCUGUCCCCCAUGCCAGUCCCCUGUCCCCAUGCCAGUCCUCUGUCCCCAUGCCAGUCCUCUGUCCCCAUGCCAACCUCCUGUCCUUCUAAUCCUUACAUACCUCUGAAGUCAGUCAGCUAAACACUACUGGUAUAAAAUUAUAAUCUGGACCUCCAAUCCAGGUCAACAGCUUUUUAUUGAACUUGUUUCUUUCCCUUUAAAAUCAGGGACUGAAAAGCAGCAGUAAUCCGGACCUCGUAGACAUAGGCUGGGAGGGUCCCAGACAGCGGCCCAUACUACUGUGUGUUGUCCAAUCACGUGCGUUAUUUAAAAUCACUUCACGAAACUCAGCCAAUCAAAGCGAAUGUUUACAAUGCAUGUUAGGAGACUGAUGUCAGAGAGAGAGAGAGAGACAGCGAGAGAAGCAAAUGCGAGAGGAGAAAUUAUUGAAUGGCGUGCCCCCCCAAAAAAUCAGGAAAGUCGAUACAGAAUAUCGAGCUUUCAAAGAGGAGUAGGGCAGACAAAUAUGCAUUUAUCCUUCCUGCAGCCAGUGUCAAACCCACUCUACCUGAUAUGUUCAGAGACCGCGGCUCUGAUAAAAAAGUGCCAACGUGAAGCGCCACUAGGAGACAAAGUACAGAUCUGUUGAGCGAACAUAUCCACAGCAGUCAGAGGUGAGGACACGCAAAAAUAAACGAUCUCAAAGCCCAGUAUGAUCGAUCCACCAGAGUCCUCUCUCCCAUGCAUUCACUGCCCAACAACAUGCAAACAAAUGUUCACAAAAAAAAAAAAAUAAAUCGCUUGGAUUUUUGGGUCAACACCAAAAGCCAUUUUACUGACGGUGGGAGUGGUGGUGGAGUG
Molecule: long non-coding RNA, 2320 nt
Filed under: Salmo salar (Atlantic salmon)
Lineage: Eukaryota; Metazoa; Chordata; Actinopteri; Salmoniformes; Salmonidae
Description: lncRNA (ENSSSAG00000109849.1)
Source: RNAcentral